UUACUUACCUGGACGAGGUCGAUGCGCGAUCAAUAAGGCCCAUGGCCUAGAUUGAUGGCCUCCAUUGCACUCCGGAGGGGCUCCAGUCUAAGGUCGGUCCAAGUGGUCGAGCCUACGUCAUAAUUUGUGGUAGAGGGGGCCUGCGUUCGCGCGGCCCCCAC
This 161-nucleotide small nuclear RNA is filed under the name Erythranthe guttata (spotted monkey flower). RNAcentral describes it as "Mimulus guttatus (spotted monkey flower) U1 spliceosomal RNA". It matches the Rfam family "U1 spliceosomal RNA". From Rfam's summary of the family: U1 is a small nuclear RNA (snRNA) component of the spliceosome (involved in pre-mRNA splicing). Lineage: Eukaryota; Viridiplantae; Streptophyta; Magnoliopsida; Lamiales; Phrymaceae. The record is from Rfam by way of RNAcentral.